UCAAAAAGGGCCCAAAUAAGCAUUUUCUUGGUUUUCGCACUAUAACUUUAGUUUAAGUAAAUAGAAAUCUAUGAAAUUUUGACACAAGGUUAAUGACCACAAAAGGAAGGUUGGGAUUGAUUUUGGGAGUUUUGGUCCCAAGAUUUUAGGAAUUAGGGGCCAAAAUAGGGCCCAAAUAAGCAUUAUUCUUGGUUUUCGCACCAUAACUUUAGUAUAAGUAAAUAGAAAUCUAUGAAAUUUUAACACAAGGUUUAUGACCAUAAAAGAAGGGUUG
RNAcentral lists this long non-coding RNA (274 nucleotides) under Mytilus galloprovincialis (Mediterranean mussel). The record is from RNAcentral. Lineage: Eukaryota; Metazoa; Mollusca; Bivalvia; Mytilida; Mytilidae.